AUUGAACGCUGGCGGCAGGCCUAACACAUGCAAGUCGAGCGAGCGGCGGACGGGUGAGUAAUGUAUGGGGACUGCCCGAUAGAGGGGGAUAACUACUGGAAACGGUGGCUAAUACCGCAUACUAUCGGAUAACCCAUAUGGGAUUAGCUAGUAGGUGGGGUAAAGGCUCACCUAGGCGACGAUCUCUAGCUGGUCUGAGAGGAUGAUCAGACAAACUGGGACGGAGACACGGCCCAGACUCCUACGGAGGCAGAAGUGGGGAAGAUUGGACAAUGGGCGAAAGCCUGAUGCAGCCAUGCCGCGUGUAUGAAGAAGGUCUUAGGAUUGUAAAGGACUUUAAGCGGGGAGGCGGUACCAGCAGAAUAAGCACCGGCUAACUCCGUGCCAGCAGCCGCGGUAAUUC
RNAcentral lists this ribosomal RNA (403 nucleotides) under uncultured bacterium. RNAcentral describes it as "partial 16S ribosomal RNA". It matches the Rfam family "Bacterial small subunit ribosomal RNA", at positions 30 to 526 of the family's 1533-position model. The record is from RNAcentral.